AUUGAACGCUGGCGGCAGGCCUAACACAUGCAAGUCGAACGGUAACAGGAAGCAGCUUGCUGCUUUGCUGACGAGUGGCGGACGGGUGAGUAAUGUCUGGGGAACUGCCUGAUGGAGGGGGAUAACUACUGGAAACGGCAGCUAAUACCGCAUAACGUCGCAAGACCAAAGAGGGGGACCUUCGGGCCUCUUGCCAUCGGAUGUGCCCAGAUGGGAUUAGCUAGUAGGUGGGGUAACGGCUCACCUAGGCGACGAUCCCUAGCUGGUCUGAGAGGAUGACCAGCCACACUGGAACUGAGACACGGUCCAGACUCCUACGGGAGGCAGCAGUGGGGAAUAUUGCACAAUGGGCGCAAGCCUGAUGCAGCCAUGCCGCGUGUAUGAAGAAGGCCUUCGGGUUGUAAAGUACUUUCAGCGGGGAGGAAGGGAGUAAAGUUAAUACCUUUGCUCAUUGACGUUACCCGCAGAAGAAGCACCGGCUAACUCCGUG
RNAcentral lists this ribosomal RNA (490 nucleotides) under uncultured bacterium. Its description in RNAcentral is "partial 16S ribosomal RNA". It matches the Rfam family "Bacterial small subunit ribosomal RNA", at positions 30 to 507 of the family's 1533-position model. The record is from RNAcentral.